AAGCGUUGAAACUUACAAUGGAAAAAAUGGAGCGUUUCAAAACAACAAAAUAUGGAUUUUUUUAAUGUAAAUGGAUGAAUGAAUUUGGGCUCAAUUGUGUUUAUAAUUAUCUAUAUAUUAUGAAAACUGGUUAAGCAGAGAAUCGAGACAGAUUAUUACACAGACUAUCCGUCAUAAAGCGUCAGGUAUAUUGUUAUUUUGCAAAGAUUGUGCAUUGUUUUGGUUUCCUUUGUUUGGAGUUUAUUAUCGUUGAAAAGGAAUAACAUCUAAAAAAACAAAGUGAAAAUGUUAGACUGUAAGCAAUUGACUGGUAUAUUUUUCUCUCGAAAGUAUGUUAGAUUUUGGUAUUGUUUAUGUGCAAAGUUUUGGGAUUAUUUUGAUUUUCUUCCAUAUAUCUAAUUUUCCGAUACCUGUUUUUUUUAUUGACAUACUUUCAACUCACAAGUUCAUACAGUGUUAAGGUUCAUAUUUUAUUCAUGAUCGAAAUUAUGUCAAAUCAUGCCAAACAUUUAAACAUUUACAUUUACAGAGGAGUGUUUUGUGGCAGGAUUGGUUAACGUUAAGGCUGAAAAAUUUGAAAAAACCAAUUUUUUGUAUCUUUGACUACUGAUAUCUGGUGUUGUAUUUGCAAUCCACCAACUUUGCGUCAUUCUGUGACAAUUUAACGACGAUGAAUAUCUUAAGAAGAGCAAAAUUUUAGUGCUACAGUAAGCUCUUGAGAAAUUCCAAAGAUCGUGUUGAAGUACACAGGGGGUGUCCUGUUAUCGAGUAAUUUUGAUUGGCUUCUAAUUAUCUCUGACACAACGGUCAGGUUAUAAGGAGCUGUAAGAAAAUCAGUAGUAUUUGUUAUUUCUUUUUUCUAACGUUACGUUAUGAUGGCUUGGAAACUACUUUUUCCCUUGUUCAUAGUUGCAAUUUUGGUGACUUUUCACCAAGUGGAUGGAACGUUAAGAGAUAUCUUAUCUCAAUCCAGAAGUAGAUUCAUAAAUAAACGUGCCUUAACAGACUUUGCUCUGUGUCAUAGAUGGAAUUAUUGGAACGAUCCUUGCUGUAGGUCGAAUCUUGCAUGUUUUAAUGACAGGAUUAAAGACAGGAUUAGAGACAGGAGACAAGACGAUAACGACCUAGCAGAUUGAACGUACCUUUGGUGUUGGAUUCAAAAAGAAAAACUGAAUUGUACCACAACUUUUAAUUGAACUGUUGAUUCUAUAGAGCAGAUUUUCCUGUAUUGAGUUUUUGAAAUGUCAUUUGACAAAUAUUGAGUUGUCUUUUUAUCGAUAAAGAUAAUUUUAAAGCGCA
This is a long non-coding RNA of Magallana angulata, 1299 nucleotides long. RefSeq lists it as uncharacterized. The transcript is spliced from 2 exons. The record is from RefSeq and is a predicted model, not a curated record. NCBI's taxonomy places the organism in Eukaryota, Metazoa, Mollusca, Bivalvia, Ostreida, Ostreidae.